UACGAAGGGUGCAAACGUUGCUCGGAAUUAUUGGGCGUAAAGCGCACGUAGGCGGCUCUAAAAGUCCCAUGUGAAAGCCCACGGCUUAACCGUGGAAGUGCAUGGGAAACUGUAGAGCUUGAGUACCAAAGAGGAUCGCGGAAUUCCCGGUGUAGAGGUGAAAUUCGUAGAUAUCGGUAGGAACACCAGUGGCGAAGGCGGCGAUCUGGGUGGUUACUGACGCUGAGGUGCGAAAGCGUGGGGAGCAAACAGG
Molecule: ribosomal RNA, 253 nt
Filed under: uncultured prokaryote
Description: partial 16S ribosomal RNA
Rfam family: Bacterial small subunit ribosomal RNA
Source: RNAcentral